GAGUUUGAUCGUGGCUCAGGACGAACGCUGGCGGCGUGCUUAACACAUGCAAGUCGAACGGAAAGGCCCUGCUUUUGUGGGGUGCUCGAGUGGCGAACGGGUGAGUAACACGUGAGUAACCUGCCCUUGACUUUGGGAUAACUUCAGGAAACUGGGGCUAAUACCGGAUAGGAGCUCCUGCUGCAUGGUGGGGGUUGGAAAGUUUCGGCGGUUGGGGAUGGACUCGCGGCUUAUCAGCUUGUUGGUGGGGUAGUGGCUUACCAAGGCUUUGAC
Molecule: ribosomal RNA, 273 nt
Filed under: uncultured microorganism
Description: partial 16S ribosomal RNA
Rfam family: Bacterial small subunit ribosomal RNA
Source: RNAcentral